CUCCUACGGGAGGCAGCAGUGGGGAAUUUUGGACAAUGGGGGCAACCCUGAUCCAGCCAUUCCGCGUGAGUGAAGAAGGCCUUCGGGUUGUAAAGCUCUUUUGUCCGGAGCGAAACGGUUACGGUGAAUAUCCGUGACUACUGACGGUACCGUAAGAAUAAGCACCGGCUAACUACGUGCCAGCAGCCGCGGUAAUACGUAGGGUGCAAGCGUUAAUCGGAAUUACUGGGCGUAAAGCGUGCGCAGGCGGUUUUGUAAGCCAGAUGUGAAAUCCCCGGGCUUAACCUGGGAAUUGCGUUUGAAACUACAAGACUAGAGUGUGUCAGAGGGGGGUAGAAUUCCACGUGUAGCAGUGAAAUGCGUAGAGAUGUGGAGGAAUACCGAUGGCGAAGGCAGCCCCCUGGGAUAACACUGACGCUCAUGCACGAAAGCGUGGGGAGCAAACAGGAUUA
Molecule: ribosomal RNA, 452 nt
Filed under: uncultured bacterium
Lineage: Bacteria
Description: bacterial SSU rRNA
Rfam family: Bacterial small subunit ribosomal RNA
Source: RNAcentral